AGAAGGAGGCGCGAUCCUGGGCUGUGUCCCGGCGCCCUGUGCUCCCGGGCCUGCGCUGUUGGAUUUGCGCUCCCAGCCUCUCCGCGGAGCCACCG
This 95-nucleotide microRNA precursor is filed under the name Canis lupus familiaris (dog). Its description in RNAcentral is "mir-8799 microRNA precursor family". It matches the Rfam family "mir-8799 microRNA precursor family". RNAcentral also lists the same sequence under 1 other name. The record is from Rfam by way of RNAcentral. Lineage: Eukaryota; Metazoa; Chordata; Mammalia; Carnivora; Canidae.